This 28-nucleotide small RNA is filed under the name Bombyx mori (domestic silkworm). RNAcentral describes it as "ovarian small RNA-5845". Lineage: Eukaryota; Metazoa; Arthropoda; Insecta; Lepidoptera; Bombycidae. The record is from RNAcentral.
UAAUGAUCUGAUGUUGUUAGACCUCUGU